Molecule: long non-coding RNA, 1464 nt
Organism: Ictalurus punctatus (channel catfish)
Lineage: Eukaryota; Metazoa; Chordata; Actinopteri; Siluriformes; Ictaluridae
Source: Ensembl
GGCAACCUGUUGGUUGUUGGACAAAUAGGUUUAACAUCUGGCAAAAGAAGAAGAAAAAAAAAAAACAAUUAAAUUUCACGGUUGCCAUGCAUUACAAAAGAAACACAUCUUCACCAAACAGAUGUAUUUGGUGUAAUGCGAAGACUGGGUGAAUUACCACUUCCCCUCACGACUACGUUACCCCAGUGGCCACUCGCAGCUCAAGCGGAGGAAUAAACUCAUCUUCAGAAGUAAGAACAAUCCAGAUGUGCCUAGUAUUUUCCCCCCGAAAAUCCCCAGCGUACUUUAUGUUGUUGGACGAGACGGGUAUAUUUCUACAGACGCGUGUCAAGCGGUGCAGAAUCCGGGUGUCGUGCUACUUAAUUCCAAAAAGUUCUCGUUUUCUAUUGGUUCACAAGACCGAGGUCGAAGUUCGCCUGGAUAAACGUGGCGCUAAAAUGAAAGUAACCCAUACCGGAAGAAAAUGCGUCCUUUCCCUUUCCUUGCGUUUGGUCCGAACACUUGGUCUGAGAAAGCAGAAAAGCAUAGUUUUCCGGUGUCUUCCAUAUCGGGGUGGAAGACUGUGAGACUGAACAGUAAUUGUUGGCGCGUCUGACGGUAUAGGCCUGGUUGGCGCGUUUUUCUAGCAGAAGAGUAAUGGUUUCUUCGGAGUAGGAGGUGAACCUGUUAAAGCUGACUAAACCUGUUAAAGCUGAUAAACAUGAAUGUAGGAGUAAACAUGAAUAAAUAGGAAUGGAGAUGUAAACAUGAAUAAACAUGAAUGUAGAAAUAAAUAUGAAUAAACAUGAAUGUAGGAGUAAACAUGAAUAAACAUGAAUGUAGGAGUAAACAUGAAUAAACAUGAAUGUAGAAGUAAACAUGAAAUAAACAUGAAUGUAGAAAUAAAUCUGAAUAAACAGGAAUGUAGAAGUAAACAUGAAUAAAUAGGAAUGUAGAAGUAAACAUGAAUGUAGAAGUAAACAUGAAUAAAUAUGAAUGUAGGAGUAAACAUGAAUAAACAGGACUGGAUAUGUAAAUAUGAAUAAACAUGAAUGUAGAAAUAAAUAUGAAUAAACAUGAAUGUAGGAGUAAACAUGAAUAAAUAGGAAUGUAGAAGUAAACAUGAAUGUAGGAGUAAACAUGAAUAAACAUGAAUGUAGGAGUAAACAUGAAUAAACAUGAAUGUAGGAGUAAACAUGAAUAAACAUGAAUGUAGGAGUAAACAUGAAUAAACAUGAAUGUAGGAGUAAACAUGAAUAAACAUGAAUGUAGGAGUAAACAUGAAUAAACAUGAAUGUAGAAAUAAACAUGAAUAAACAGGAAUGUAGAAGUAAACAUGAAUAAACAUGAAUGUAGGAGUAAACAUGAAUAAAUAUGAAUGUAGAAGUAAACAUGAAUAAAUAGGAAUGUAGAAGUAAACAUGAAUAAACAGGAACUGGUAGUAAAUAUGAAUAAACAUGAAUGUAGGAGUAAACAUGAAUAAAC